This is a non-coding RNA of Gossypium arboreum, 107 nucleotides long. The record is from Rfam. Lineage: Eukaryota; Viridiplantae; Streptophyta; Magnoliopsida; Malvales; Malvaceae.
GAAUCCCAUUGAGGAUACUUACGAAGUAAUUCCUUGAAUCUUUCCCACGCCUCAGACAAAUAUUCAUCAUCCAAGUGUUGGAAAGUUGUUAUCUCAUUACACAACCU